Molecule: ribosomal RNA, 436 nt
Filed under: uncultured bacterium
Lineage: Bacteria
Description: partial 16S ribosomal RNA
Rfam family: Bacterial small subunit ribosomal RNA
Source: RNAcentral
AACGAACGCUGGCGGCAUGCCUAACACAUGCAAGUCGAACGAGAUCCUUCGGGGUCUAGUGGCGCACGGGUGCGUAACGCGUGGGAAUCUGCCCUUAGGUUCGGAAUAACAGUUAGAAAUGACUGCUAAUACCGGAUGAUGACGUUAAGUCCAAAGAUUUAUCGCCUGAGGAUGAGCCCGCGUAGGAUUAGCUAGUUGGUGUGGUAAAGGCGCACCAAGGCGACGAUCCUUAGCUGGUCUGAGAGGAUGAUCAGCCACACUGGGACUGAGACACGGCCCAGACUCCUACGGAAGGCAGCAGUGGGGAAUAUUGGACAAUGGGCGCAAGCCUGAUCCAGCAAUGCCGCGUGAGUGAUGAAGGCCUUAGGGUUGUAAAGCUCUUUUACCCGGGAUGAUAAUGACAGUACCGGGAGAAUAAGCCCCGGCUAACUCCGUG